This is a long non-coding RNA of Amphiprion ocellaris (clown anemonefish), 4287 nucleotides long. The record is from Ensembl. NCBI's taxonomy places the organism in Eukaryota, Metazoa, Chordata, Actinopteri, Pomacentridae.
AAAUUUUGCAGCUAGCGCUUUAAAUAUCCGAAGUUGAUGAUAUUAAAGUUUCAAGCAGAUCCAAGAUGAUUUAAGGUGGAAUAACCCUUUAAAAAAAGACAUUUAACACCUUUGUUUUCUUUCCCUCCAGAUGAAUCUGUGGACGGGCUUCUGCGUGGCCACUGCUCCUCCCCGCCUCCGCACUGUUGCUGUGAUAUUUCUUUUCUUUUUUUUUCUAUUAUUAUUCUAAUUAUUCAGUUUUUUAUUUCCCCUCUCCUGUUGUCCACAUCACCUGGAUUCCUUGGGUCUCACUCGUCAAGUCCACUUUGCUCAGGAAUGGCGUCAGGAAUCAAUCAAUCAGUCAUUCUGUCUCUUUCUUUUUCUCUCUCCUGGGGGUGAGGAGGUGAGGAGGGGGGAGUCACAUCACAGCUUACAGUCCUGGGGGUGAUUUUUAUGUUUUGUGUGUGUGUGUGUGUGUGUGUGUGUGUGUGUGUGUGUGUGUGUGUGUGUGCGUGUUUGCGUGUGUGUUUUUAAGCCAAGAUAAACAAUUAUUUUUUCGAAGGCGUACGGCUUUGGCCAUCGAAGACCUUUAACGUCCGAUUAUUUUAUUUUUCUGGCUUAGUUGAACGGUAGAACGCUAACGAGAAUCAUCCAUCAUGAUUAGAAACAAAAAUUUUCUAACCGUCGCCGCACUGUUACAAGGGAUGCAGUCUUUUUCUCUCUCUCUUUGGAAAACUAUGAAAGAAAACUCCAACUUAAAUCACCUGAUUUAUGCAAUGAAAUCACAGAAUCAGCGAGAGACGUUGAGGAUCUAUAUUUUAAUCAAAAAACCUCGUAUUUUAAUCCUUUAACACAAAGAGAAAGGCCCAAAUGCAAGUAUAUAAAUAUAGCUAUAUAUAUAUAUAUAUAUAUAUAUAUAUAUAUAUAUAUAUAUAUAUAUAUAUAUAGCCUGAAGAGUCUUAAGAUAUUUUAACGGUAAGAGUGACGAUGGAAAUCUGAUGGAUUUAUUUUCUUUUGUUGUUUUAACGACAAAAAAAAGCCCGUUUUCGUUUCUCAUCGGCUCCAGUCGCACCAUCGAUUUCUGCCUUAGCCGCGAGAAAACCCGAGGAAGGAGUUUAUGUCACACAAGUCUGUAUGUACAGUUCGAUAUUUUUCAUAUUUCGGGGGGGAAACUUCAUGAGAAUUCACACACGGGACUCGUUUUGUCCGGAGGAAAACAUCGUUGUGCCUCCCGGUUUGUUUGUUCUUUUCUUCUUCUGCGUUUUUUAUUUUUCUUUCUUCAUCUUCGGUCUCUGUUGAUCUCUCUCUCUGUCUCUCUCGCCUUGUUAGAAUAAUACUGUGCCCUUUGCAUGACUGUUACAAGCUCUGUAUACAAAGACGACGAUGUUAAGUGCCACACAAGCCGGGCAGAUCCGCCGGGAGAGCGCCCAGGCUCUUUCCGUUCUGUUGUUCAAUCACUCGUUUCCCAACACACGGUGCUUUCUGUCCUCUUUUUGCUUUAGCGUCCUCUCUUUGUCCGUUUACUUUCCCCCGUCUCCGUUUUCUCAUCGUUGUCGUUUAUUUACUUUAAAAAGAAAAAACUAAAAAAAAAAACCUUUGGAUCUCCGUGUGCAUGCUCAGACAUCUCGUUGUGGUUGCAAAUAGGAGAAUAACCAUAUAUCUGUAUUUAUACCACGCACACAAGAACAAAAACAAAGAAAAAAAAAUCACAAAAACCUGUCCUGAACCUGAGAAUCCAGGCGAGAUAAAGUUAGAAACGAUACUCAAAUGUAAAAGUUUGUUUAUUUUUGCUUUAAAUUGCACAUUCUAACGCUGAUGACAGCUGGCGGCGUCCGAACCAGCAGACGACUGCAGUAAAACUUUAAAAAAUAAAAAUAAAAAAAACCAACAAAUGCAGCAGAAGUCAAGACCGUGUUUCCACUUCUUGUCUGCUGAUUAAAGACUGUUGAAUUUGAAGCUUUUUAUUUCGAGUGGAAGGAAUUUACAGAUUUGGAAAGAACAUGUUUACAAAAGUGGGCCUCAAAUAUGUUCAGUUUCAUGGUACAGCCUCGCCUUUUAGUGCAACUUCAAAUGAAAAGCGCGACCUCAUGAAUGACAAGAAGAAGUAUUAUUCCCGACACUAAAGCAUCUGGAAGUAGAUUAAAGUCUAACCUGAAGGGAUUUUGGCACUUAAAUGAAGAGAUUUAAAUCUAACGUCAGACUGUUUUAGUGAUGUCAAGCUGCAGGUCACAAAAAGUAAACUCACGAUUUUUAUGUUUGGACAUUUCAGAGGCAAAAAUCUCCACUUUGUGUUUCUCUGUUGUUGUGGCUCUAAUAACAUGAAUAUUAAACUGAGCGGAGGGACGAAGCCAUAAUUAAUCCGUCACCACAGCUGCGAUGAACCGCUGCAGGUCGACGAAAAAAACGACACUUAAAUGUGCCGACUUUAGACGAUAUUUCACGAGUCUGUAAACUCUCAGAGUUCUCUGGAAGAAAAAGUGUAAUUUUGGUGCUAGUUGUAAGUUAAUUAGAGAGAAAAUAUGUUUUAAAAAAAAAAAUACUUUUAAAGCUUCCAAAGCUUUCAAAGUCCUAAACUGAGAUCUGUUAUAUUCGGAUAUCAUCAAAACGACCGAAUAUUUGGAUAUUCGGGUCCAGCCCAACAAAACGAAAACCUAUCUUGGUCCAGUUUGGCAGUUUAGUGAAAAAAAGUGUUAAUGUCAUAUUUGAAGCGAAUUUGUAAAUUAUAGUGUGCAUAUAUGUGACAAUAUGUACAAUUAAGACAGGUAAGAGCAUGUCGUUUAUGCACUGAGAUUUUGGGGCUGAAAGCGGGAUAAAAACUGACAUUUUUCCGGCUCUCAAUGGUGUUUUCGGAUUCAAGCGGUAAAAAGGAACGGCUUUGUUUACAUUUUCGCCGGAGUUCCGACUUGCACCGAAAAUUGACUUAUGGAGCAAGUCGGAACUCCAGCGCAAGUCGAGGACCUCCUGUAUUUAAUUAGAAAGUAGAACUUUGAUGCUGGCUUCAUCCAGUGUUCCGAUUCUGCUUGUUUGCUGCUUUAAACACGAAAUUUUUACACACCUUGUAACACAAAACAAAAUCAUACAACCGUUUUGUAGCUUUCUUUGGUUGCAAAUCCAUUGAAUUGAUGAAAAAUCAAUAAAACUCAACCCGCAAUUACGAAAAAUCAAGCUUCCGGUAAUUUGUCAAUUAAAUAUCCCUCUAAAAAUCAACUAAAUUACCAUAUGUCUGUAAUGUCUUUCCUAUAAUUAGUGCAAAAUUACACUUUUGAGUCCCUCUCUGCUCACGCCCUGAAGCUGUUUUUGUUAGACGUUAAUUUUGUUUCAAAGAGAAGUUUUAUGACCAAAAGUCCGUUGCAGAAAAGACCGUUUUUGCACUCACAGAUUCCCGUGAGGCUGAGAUUCGAUUAUUAAAUGAUGAUUAAAUGCACUCUUCUACAGUAGUUUGAGACUCGUAACCCUGAGGUGCCUGCCGGGACUUGACUUGCCUGUAGAUAGUCUAAUUUUUCUUUUUUUUUUUUUUCUUUUUGGGGGGGGUUUUAACGAGAACAUUAAGGGCACUGGAAACCUUACUGGGAUUAGUUGUAUAAAACAUAAAACAAAUGAAGCUUCUGCUGAGUUCUUUGUGCAAAUCUGUCUGUUUGUGCCUUUUUUGAUAGUCUUGAUAUCCAAGAUUUGAUGUGCAGCUUUCGUUCAGUCGGGACUCCGUCGUAAUCGCAGUAUAACGCUCUUAAAAACAAUCAAGUGGGAGGGAAUCUUUCAUUUCUGUACAUUUUUAAAGAGAUUUGUUGCCACAGCUGUGUGAUUUGUGACUGUAUUGAAAAAGAUGAAACAUUUAUAUAUAUUUUUUUGCGUUACCCUUCUUUUCUUUCUCUUUUCUUUCCUUGAUGUUUUUGUGCAUAUAUUUUUAUUGUAAGAUGAAUGUUAUGUUUCUAUCAGACACUAAUCUCGUUUGAGUUGUCUCUAGUGGAACUACUUCACUCUGUAUGUUUUGAUCAGUAUAAACCUUUAAUUGUGUAGUUUCUGAAAGAGAUUUAAACAAAAAAAGGAAAAAAUAAGACCCUUAGCUGUCUUUUAAAGGAUUCUUCUGUUUGACCUGCCAUAGAAACAGUUUUUAAAUUGAUCGGUCAGUUUUUUUUUUUGUUGUUUUUUUUUUUUGCUGUCGUGUGAAGGAUUUGACUUGAACGAAGCAUUUGCUAUUAUUAAAGACUGACUGCUACUUUGAGAAGAAAAUCUGUUUCUUAAUGUUUUUUUUCUUUUUGCAACUUUGCCAUGACAUUUAAAUAGACGUUCAUUAAAAACACUGUACCUUCA